GCUGCGAUGGCCGAGUGGUUAAGGCGUUGGACUCGAAAUCCAAUGGGAUAUUCCCGCACAGGUUCGAACAUUGUUCGCAGCA
RNAcentral lists this transfer RNA (82 nucleotides) under Capitella teleta. RNAcentral's name for it is "tRNA-Ser for anticodon CGA". It matches the Rfam family "tRNA". Rfam says of the family: Transfer RNA (tRNA) molecules are approximately 80 nucleotides in length. Their secondary structure includes four short double-helical elements and three loops (D, anti-codon, and T loops). Further hydrogen bonds mediate the characteristic L-shaped molecular structure. tRNAs have two regions of fundamental functional importance: the anti-codon, which is responsible for specific mRNA codon recognition, and the 3' end, to which the tRNAs corresponding amino acid is attached (by aminoacyl-tRNA synthetases). tRNAs cope with the degeneracy of the genetic code in two manners: having more than one tRNA (with a specific anti-codon) for a particular amino acid; and 'wobble' base-pairing, i.e. permitting non-standard base-pairing at the 3rd anti-codon position. The record is from Rfam by way of RNAcentral. Lineage: Eukaryota; Metazoa; Annelida; Polychaeta; Capitellidae.